This 374-nucleotide ribosomal RNA is filed under the name uncultured Elusimicrobia bacterium. RNAcentral's name for it is "bacterial SSU rRNA". It matches the Rfam family "Bacterial small subunit ribosomal RNA", at positions 521 to 896 of the family's 1533-position model. The record is from RNAcentral. Lineage: Bacteria; Pseudomonadati; Elusimicrobiota; Elusimicrobia.
UAAUACGGAGGGUGCAAGCGUUAUUCGGAAUUACUAGGUGUAAAGGGCGUGUAGGUCGUUUAGUAAGUUAGAUGUGAAAUCUCAUGGCUCAACCAUGGGGCUGCAUUUAAAACUGCUAGACUUGAGUAUGAAAGGGGAAAAUGGAAUUCCUGGUGUAGCGGUGAAAUGUGUAGAUACCAGGAGGAACACCGAUGGCGAAAGCGAUUUUCUGGUUCAAUACUGACGCUAAGGCGCGAAAGCUAGGGGAGCAAACAGGAUUAGAUACCCUGGUAGUCCUAGCCGUAAACGAUGGUCACUAGGUGUAGGGAAGAUUAUUCUCUGUGCUGACGCUAACGCAUUAAGUGACCCACCUGGGGAGUACGGUCGCAAGGCUG